AUUGAACGCUGGCGGCAGGCCUAACACAUGCAAGUCGAGCGGAUGAAGGGAGCUUGCUCCUGGAUUCAGCGGCGGACGGGUGAGUAAUGCCUAGGAAUCUGCCUGGUAGUGGGUGAUAACGUCCGGAAACGGGCGCUAAUACCGCAUACGUCCUGAGGGAGAAAGUGGGGGAUCUUCGGACCUCACGCUAUCAGAUGAGCCUAGGUCGGAUUAGCUAGUUGGUGGGGUAAAGGCCUACCAGGGCGACGAUCCGUAACUGGUCUGAGAGGAUGAUCAGUCACACUGGAACUGAGACACGGUCCAGACUCCUACGGGAGGCAGCAGUGGGGAAUAUUGGACAAUGGGCGAAAGCCUGAUCCAGCCAUGCCGCGUGUGUGAAGAAGGUCUUCGGAUUGUAAAGCACUUUAAGUUGGGAGGAAGGGCAGUAAGUUAAUACCUUGCUGUUUUGACGUUACCAACAGAAUAAGCACCGGCUAACUUCGUG
RNAcentral lists this ribosomal RNA (484 nucleotides) under uncultured bacterium. RNAcentral describes it as "partial 16S ribosomal RNA". It matches the Rfam family "Bacterial small subunit ribosomal RNA", at positions 30 to 507 of the family's 1533-position model. The record is from RNAcentral.